This 449-nucleotide ribosomal RNA is filed under the name uncultured bacterium. RNAcentral's name for it is "bacterial SSU rRNA". It matches the Rfam family "Bacterial small subunit ribosomal RNA", at positions 355 to 796 of the family's 1533-position model. The record is from RNAcentral.
UGGGGAAUAUUGGACAAUGGGGGCAACCCUGAUCCAGCCAUGCCGCGUGGGUGAAGAAGGCCUUCGGGUUGUAAAGCCCUUUUGUACGGGAAGAAAAGCUUUCGGUGAAUAUCCGGGAGUCAUGACGGUACCGUAAGAAUAAGCACCGGCUAACUUCGUGCCAGCAGCCGCGGUAAUACGAAGGGUGCAAGCGUUACUCGGAAUUACUGGGCGUAAAGCGUGCGUAGGUGGUUUGUUAAGUCUGAUGUGAAAUCCCCGGGCUCAACCUGGGAAUGGCAUUGGAUACUGGCAGGCUAGAGUGCGGUAGAGGGUGGUGGAAUUCCCGGUGUAGCAGUGAAAUGCGUAGAGAUCGGGAGGAACAUCUGUGGCGAAGGCGGCCACCUGGACCAGCACUGACACUGAGGCACGAAAGCGUGGGGAGCAAACAGGAUUAGAUACCCCCGUAGUCC